CAAGCGGUGGAGCAUGUGGUUUAAUUCGAUGCAACGCGAAGAACCUUACCUGGUCUUGACAUCCACAGAACUUUUCAGAGAUGAUAUUGUGCCUUCGGGAACCCUGAGACAGGUGCUGCAUGGCUGUCGUCAGCUCGUGUUGUGAAAUGUUGGGUUAAGUCCCGCAACGAGCGCAACCCUUAUCCUUUGUUGCCAUCGGUCCGGCCGGGAACUCAAAGGAGACUGCCAGUGAUAAACUGGAGGAAGGUGGGGAUGACGUCAAGUCAUCAUGGCCCUUACGACCAGGGCUACACACGUGCUACAAUGGCGCAUACAAAGAGAAGCGACCUCGCGAGAGCAAGCGGACCUCAUAAAGUGCGUCGUAGUCCGGAUUGGAGUCUGCAACUCGACUCCAUGAAGUCGGAAUCGCUAGUAAUCGUGGAUCAGAAUGCCACGGUGAAUACGUUCCCGGGCCUUGUACACACC
This 465-nucleotide ribosomal RNA is filed under the name uncultured bacterium. RNAcentral describes it as "bacterial SSU rRNA". It matches the Rfam family "Bacterial small subunit ribosomal RNA", at positions 926 to 1391 of the family's 1533-position model. The record is from RNAcentral.